Molecule: ribosomal RNA, 253 nt
Filed under: uncultured bacterium
Lineage: Bacteria
Description: partial 16S ribosomal RNA
Rfam family: Bacterial small subunit ribosomal RNA
Source: RNAcentral
UACGAAUGGGGCAAGCGUUGUUCGGAAUCACUGGGCUUAAAGCGUGCGUAGGCGGACUCACAAGUCAGGAGUGAAAUCCCCGGGCUCAACCCGGGAAUUGCUUUUGAAACUGUGAGUCUAGAAUCCCGGAGAGGUUAGGAGAAUUCCGAGUGUAGAGGUGAAAUUCGCAGAUAUUCGGAGGAAUACCAGUGGCGUAGGCGCCUAACUGGACGGGCAUUGACGCUGAGGCACGAAAGCGUGGGUAGCAAACAGG